CAGCAGCCGCGGUAAAACCAGCAGCCCAAGUGGUGGUCGCGAUUAUUGGGCCUAAAGCGCUCGUGGCCGGGCCGGUAAGUCCCUUGUGAAAUCGGACGGCCUAACCGUUCGGCGUGCAAGGGAUACUGUCGGUCUUGAGGCCGGGAGACGUCCGAGGUACUCCGGGGGUAGCGGUGAAAUGUUCUGAUCCUCGGGGGACCACCGGUGGCGAAGGCGUUCGACGAGAACGGGCCUGACGGUGAGGGGCGAAGGCUAGGGGAGCAAACGGGAUUAGAUACCCGCGUAGUCCCUGUCUCUUAUU
This 301-nucleotide ribosomal RNA is filed under the name uncultured bacterium. RNAcentral's name for it is "partial 16S ribosomal RNA". It matches the Rfam family "Archaeal small subunit ribosomal RNA", at positions 459 to 759 of the family's 1478-position model. The record is from RNAcentral.